RNAcentral lists this long non-coding RNA (4602 nucleotides) under Eptatretus burgeri (inshore hagfish). RNAcentral's name for it is "lncRNA (ENSEBUG00000017225.1)". The record is from RNAcentral. Lineage: Eukaryota; Metazoa; Chordata; Myxini; Myxiniformes; Myxinidae.
UGCACCCCCCGCUCUCAGGAUGAUGGAUUUAGACCCAAAUCUGGUGAAGGUGAUCUGGAAGAGGGAAAUGAUUUCCAAAUGGAUAUUCCUCAAAACCUUUGGAAGUCAUCUGUUCAGAUUAAAGAAUCAGAUGAUGCCACAACACAAGAAUCGAGCAGUGCUUCUCCUCGUGUUAAUCCAGAACAAUCACGAGGUCCAAUUGGAGAAAUCAGGGCGAGUUGGAGCCUGACAGUGAAGAAGUCUUUGAAGAAGCAACCACCAGAUCAAGACUCACUACCUUUAAAAUACAAGUGCACGUCUGCUCGAAACGGCAUGGAUAUUAAAUUAACCAAACACAAAAAGGAAUUAUUCACUUGCAGAAGUCUUUCUCAAAGUAAGUCUUCAUAACUGUUCACAUCGGAGUGUUGAAAUCGAUGUAUUGCAUCAAUGCCGUUGAUUAAAAACUUUUAAUUGUCUGAAUUUCCUUUGUUCUCAAGCCUGAAAGAUAUUGUCAACUGAAAGAUAUUGUCUCAGGUUUCCUUGAUCAUCGCUUGAAUUGUCUUCAUCGUUUCAUGUGGUUGAAAGUUUUUCCUUUGGUCUGUGUAUACAUGUAAUUUACGAUUGUUGGUAAUCAUGGAAACUUUUUUUUUGGUCUUUCUUUAUCAGGGGCAAAUGUUAAGUAUUUAUGAGUAUUGUGAAGUUCUGAUUAUUUGAAAUCAUCUUCAAAGUAAUAUUCUAACUUUCCCUCAUCCAAUUAUUUUUGUGUCGAGAUUAAACAUCUUUCAAGACUUUUUCACAGUUCUUCUCUUUGACCCAUUUUAAACCCCCUACGGUAGAGCUUCAGACAUGGUCCAUCCACAUAAAUUAUUGGCAUCAUUGUGCAUGAAAUAAGAACUAUCGUUUAAAGUAUCAUAAUCUGCGAGGUAUUUGUGAUUUGCCUCAGCAUAUCUCUUUCAACACACUUGUGAUAUCCCACUUCUCUUUUUGGAAGCAAAAUAUCUGCAUCCAAAAUUAAUUCUAAUGCUUUUUUGUCAUCUUUAGCAGAGCACUCCAGGCUAAUCCAUGGGCUGUGUAAUCACGGUGUUUGGGAGGACUCCAUAUAGAGGGUUGAUACGGAAUAAAAAUGGUCACGCAUUCAAAUGUGUUCACAAUGAUAUGCUCAUAAACUCCAAUAGAGUGAAGUCAUAGCAUUUAAAGCACACAACCUUUUAUUUUCAAGCUUUUCCGAAACGACCACUACUUAAAUAGGUACAAAAUACAUCGUGAAAACACCACGAGAGAUCGCUAAAUCGCCAAUUUGUACUUCAUCUUCGUCACCUCUCAAAACAAUGUAAAAUUGUAGCCCGACCUACCUCAUACAACUGCUGAAGCCGUGAUGGUGAUAACAAUGCGAGGAAGUCACUUUGUCUCUGGGCUAGUGCAUGUUAACCAAAAUUUCAAAAUAUAUAAAUUAUUCAUCGUUUUCUUACAGGAAUCAUUUGAACGUCAAUAUUGACUCAACCAAACCAGUCCAGGAUCGUGACGGGGGAGGGGGGAGGGAAAUGGACACGGGACAGAACCAUUCCCAAACCGAUACAUAUCCAAACCAUCACCCAAAUCAACUAAAACAAGUUUUGAAACAUAUCAUGACAUAGAUGGAUUACAUCUGUACCAAAAUGUAGGAAACAUUGAAAAUAAAUAGAACGUUCAGAACCUGUGAAAAGUGUCACCGCAAUGAGCUUGAGGUCAUGUGACCAGCGCCAUUUUCGUUAUCAUCACUUGGCUGACUCACGUCGUGGAUCAAGGUGGUUUUGAACACGUCCCAGAUUGAAAAAGCCAAAUAAAUGUUGAAAUGACAUUUUGUGCGGUAAUAAACUGUUCCAAUCUAUAAUGGGAGGGUUGUGGAAAGUUGUUUCACAGGUAUUCUUAUAUGUUGUUGAAUAGGAAUGGUCGAAUUUUACUCCAAAUAUCACUGCAGUAUUGCAGCUUCUCAUUUGGCAUUCAUCACAUGAACACUGCUGGUGGAAAAUCGAUUUGUUUGUGGGUUGCAAAUGGCUUUGUAAUAUUUUUUAUGGAGGAAGGAUUAACAGGGGUGAUUAACGAGUGUAUUUAUGUUAACAGUCACCAUUAAUCCCACCUUCUCGUCUGUUCAGCGAAGGGAAGUUUUACCCGAGUCUUUCACGAACUGGCUGUUGUCGGCGAUAACUCCACAGCUGAGAUGUGAGUGAGCAACGGGACGUCCAGUUGAACGUCCUUCCAAGGAACGGCACACAUAUUGAUUGAUCACCCUGCAUGUCAAACACUGGGUGGACAGUUUAGAGCUGGGUCGGGAUUUGAACCCAGGCUUGACAGCUGAUAAGACGAGUAUGCAACAGGAUGUCCAAGUUUACGUCCAUCCGAGGGACGGCACACACAUUGAUUAAUCACCCUGCCUGUGAAACCCCCUAAUGUCAUUUUACAGCUGGGUCGGGAUUCGAACCCAGGUUAGACAGGUUCGAGACAGGCGAGUGUGUGACGGGACAUCCAGUUUAACGUCUAUCCGAGGGAUGGCACACACCGAGAUGAAUCACCUUCCUGCAGCAAACAUACACAUUCUCUUGCUGCUCACUCUGCCAACAAUUUGGGUAUGCCUAUACAUAAAGUUGGUUGUAUUUCAAUCCGUUGAUUUGCAUCAUUUUGGGAUGUAAUAAAAAAAAACGACAGGUAAAUUCACGUUUUCAAUUUUAACCCAAAAAAUUGUGAAACGGGCAGAUUUGAUCUUUGUCAGCUUCCUUAAAACACCGUGAGUUCUUCACAUUCCCAAAUAUACAAGAGUUGUUCUCGAACGUUAUUGUGAAAAGGAAAGUGAAAUUGUUACGAUGAUAAAGUUUACUGUUGUAUACUAUCGUACAAAAGGUGGAAAAAACGCGAUCGUUUUUCUUUCUAAAUUGCAUACAAAUGCAUAACGGAAAUCACCUUCACCAAGCAUCGAGUGCUAACCAAUAUGGCGUCCCGCAGCUGCACCGGGCUAUGUGUGUUGUGAAUGCCAAUGAGCAUUCCAUUUAUUUUCAGUUCUGUUUUGGUAAUUCACAAAGUUAACUGAGACAAAAGCCAGGAUUGAGGGGAGGGAGGAAGGGUUUAUUGUUCGGUAAGCCAAAUUUAAAAUUAUCGAUGGAUUUAAUCCAUUCCAAAAUAACAAAAUAUAUAAAACAUGAGGCAUUUUAUUGUUUUUUUUAAACAACAUACACAUAGACAUUUCCGUACAUGAUUUGUGGUAAUCCACAUGAUGGACGAAGACAAAAGCCAGGAUUGAGGGGGUCGGGGUACAAUGUACCAUAAACCGAAUUUAAUAACGCAACAUAUUUUGACAUUUUACUUUUGUUGUGGUAUCGAGUUGGAUGAAGAAUAAAAAUGAAAAAUGACAUCACAAUACUCUUCUGGUUUUGCAUCACAAUAUCUUUUGCAAUCCCACAACAAAAGUAAAAUGUUGAAAGAUGUGAUGGUGAUCCAUCAGAGGAUUGUGGUGUUGUAUUGUGGAAUCGUAAUGUGGUGUCAUUCCUUCCUUGUUUGGUUGUUUUUUUUUUUUGAAGAUUUCAUCCCUCCAUGUUUUAACAUUUUUAUUAAAAUGUUCUUUUUUUCUUGGAUUGAUGAGGGUUACUCUGGCAAACUUCCCUGAACUUUUCAAAUAUUGUACAUCUUUGAGUAACUAAAUGUCAGUUUUGAGAUGGAGUUUGUGGUAUUCACCGAGGUGUUGAAAUUAAACUUACUACACACUGUUUUACGCAUGUUGAUCGUCUUCCUCGGAUAUAUGAGUUUUAUUCACCUCAUUGUGGAAACCCUUUUGGAUGGUUUUGUGAUUCAUCACAUCUACGAAAGUUGUCUGCAUAGUAAUAUGUGUGAACUCCUUUUUGGGAUGUGAGCUUAAUUUUUUUCUUGGUCAGAAUAAUUUGUUUCGAGAUUUGAAAAUAUUUAAAGACUCGAUGCUAUAAAGGUAGAUUAAGGACUUGCCAUUCAUGUGUGUGUUUCAAGAAAUCUAAGAUGAGUUUUGUGAGUUGGGAUUGUUUUUGUAAAAGUAAUGCAUUUCCGGUCUGUGUUGGAAAUGGCUGUGAUGUCUCCUGGUAUCUCGCAUCGUUCAUGUGUGAAUAAAUAUGUCGUUGGUUGGCAUUGUUGUAAAGAAAGACUGGGAUGAAAGACGGAGGUUUAUAAUUGAGAUUAUAACUUUGAUGAGCAACUCAUCUAUUUUUCAGGAUGAUGACAAUGGUCUACAACUUUUGGUACUUUCUCAACCUUCUCUGAAGAGCUGAUUAUUUAAUCUGGACAACGAUAGCAAAUCAUAGAGGUCUUAAAAUCUCCCUCAUCGCAUCAAGGAUGCUUUCAAAGUCGGCGUAUAUUAUAAACUAGCAAAUACCACCUGAUGCUUUGCUGAUGAUACUGAAAGGGGGUGGUAGGGUGACAUGGAGGAGGGAGAGUGGAAACGAGAGCAAGGAAGGAGGAGAGAUAAAGGAUGGGGGAAAACAAUGGCCAAACCACACGGCGCUAUACCCUCCAGGAAGGAGGGUGAUGGGAGAGAGUAAAGGAGGAGAAAAGGAGAGAGAGCGAGGCGGGGGGAAGAGUGACACCUCUGCACACAUCGCGAAACACUCCAGGAGGAAGGUGUGCAAGGAG